AAAUAUAUUCUCCAGAACAUUCCUAGUCCAAGAGAUGUCCCAUGAAAAAUAAGGGAGAAGAGAUCUUGCUGACCCACCCCUUCUCUUUCUUUCUGACCUGAAUGUGGAUAUGUGGUUUGCUUCUGUGGCUGCAAUCAGGUGACAUGAGGCACCAACCAUUGGACCAAGAAGACAACAGCCAAAGACAGAAGAGCAGAAAAAUAAAAGGAAAAGGCCUGUGUUUUGAUAACAUCAAUGAGCAGCAGUACCAGUGCCAAUAGUCACCUGUCUCCAGCCUUCUUGUGAAUGAGAUACUACAGAUCCUGCCUCUGAAUGAGACUGCCCACUAUGCAAGUGCCUUACCUGUAGUGCACACUUAGCAACCAUUUGUUAAACAGAAGAAUGAAUAAAUGAAUGAAUGAAUGAAUGAAAACCCUAAUCCUAUCAUCAGUCAUGUCAGCACCUUCAUCUUUUUUCUUAGUAAGAGUCAAAUCAAUCCUCGUGUUUUGCCAACUUUUCACAGAGAAGGCUUAGAUUCGAAAUCUCUGUAGACAUAAUAGGUUUUCUGCUUUCUUUCCUUUCUCCAUUUCAACAUUCAGAAAACUCACACUGGAAGAUAACAGGGCCCUUUCUGAGAUUCUUCCUGUCUUCCAGAAUCUUUUCCAGGGGAACAGAGCUGCACCAGCCUCAGGUGCCCAAAGGGUAUCUGUCUUUCUCUCCAAGAGGAAGGCAAAGCAGUUUGUUCAUCUCAGCCUCCUCACCCCCCAGAGGCCCGGUUUGGCUCUGCAUUCACAGACACGUGCCCUGUCUUCCUCAACACAUCAUGGACUGGAGCAUGGGAGAAAGUCAUGCAACAUAGUCAACAGGUCUAGCCUCAGCUUCCCAAUACCCACACACAUAAAGUUAAACGGAAAGCAAUGAACAACACUGGUUGGGGGUGUCCUUGGAAACCAACGGCCUCCAUGGCUGACCAACAGCCAAGGCUCCACUCAACCUCAGUGGAGGACCUGAACUCUGACCCUUAGCCUAUUACCGAGCAGUGGUGUGAUCUUAGAUAAAAAACUGAACCUCUCUAGGUCUGUUUCUUCUUCCAUGAAAUGGAAAUAAAUAAAAUUUUGCCACUAAGAGCAUACAAUUUCUGUGAAAACCAAAAUAAUGUAAAAUCAUUGCCAGGUGUGAAUGAAGUCACAGGGGAAUAUAGAAGAAAAAUGAUUUGCCCAAAUUUCCAAAGCUUUUUUUCAGAGUUGCAUCCAAACUAACUCCAGGACUCAACUACUCCAUUUGGAGGGUCUCAGACUCCCAACCUCCUCCAUCUUUCCAUAUCUGUGGGUGAAAACUCUGCAAAAACUGUAAUGUGCUAGAUUUGAUGUGCU
Molecule: long non-coding RNA, 1352 nt
Filed under: Homo sapiens (human)
Lineage: Eukaryota; Metazoa; Chordata; Mammalia; Primates; Hominidae
Description: HSALNT0163429
Source: RNAcentral